AUUGAACGCUGGCGGCAGGCCUAACACAUGCAAGUCGAGCGGAUGAAGGGAGCUUGCUCCUGGAUUCAGCGGCGGACGGGUGAGUAAUGCCUAGGAAUCUGCCUGGUAGUGGGGGAUAACGUCCGGAAACGGGCGCUAAUACCGCAUACGUCCUGAGGGAGAAAGUGGGGGAUCUUCGGACCUCACGCUAUCAGAUGAGCCUAGGUCGGAUUAGCUAGUUGGUGGGGUAAAGGCCUACCAAGGCGACGAUCCGUAACUGGUCUGAGAGGAUGAUCAGUCACACUGGAACUGAGACACGGUCCAGACUCCUACGGGAGGCAGCAGUGGGGAAUAUUGGACAAUGGGCGAAAGCCUGAUCCAGCCAUGCCGCGUGGGUGAAGAAGGUCUUCGGAUUGUAAAGCACUUUAAGUUGGGAGGAAGGGUAGUAAGUUAAUACCUUGCUGUUUUGACGUUACCAACAGAAUAAGCACCGGCUAACUUCGUG
This 484-nucleotide ribosomal RNA is filed under the name uncultured bacterium. Its description in RNAcentral is "partial 16S ribosomal RNA". It matches the Rfam family "Bacterial small subunit ribosomal RNA", at positions 30 to 507 of the family's 1533-position model. The record is from RNAcentral.